CGGGACACGUGGUAUCCUGUCUGAAUAUGGGGGGACCAUCCUCCAAGGCUAAAUACUCCUGACUGACCGAUAGUGAACCAGUACCGUGAGGGAAAGGCGAAAAGAACCCCGGCGAGGGGAGUGAAAAAGAACCUGAAACCGUGUACGUACAAGCAGUGGGAGCACGCUUAGGCGUGUGACUGCGUACCUUUUGUAUAAUGGGUCAGCGACUUAUAUUCUGUAGCAAGGUUAACCGAAUAGGGGAGCCGAAGGGAAACCGAGUCUUAACUGGGCGUUAAGUUGCAGGGUAUAGACCCGAAACCCGGUGAUCUAGCCAUGGGCAGGUUGAAGGUUGGGUAACACUAACUGGAGGACCGAACCGACUAAUGUUGAAAAAUUAGCGGAUGACUUGUGGCUGGGGGUGAAAGGCCAAUCAAACCGGGAGAUAGCUGGUUCUCCCCGAAAGCUAUUUAGGUAGCGCCUCGUGAAUUCAUCUCCGGGGGUAGAGCACUGUUUCGGCAAGGGGGUCAUCCCGACUUACCAACCCGAUGCAAACUGCGAAUACCGGAGAAUGUUAUCACGGGAGACACACGGCGGGUG
This 579-nucleotide ribosomal RNA is filed under the name Escherichia coli. RNAcentral's name for it is "partial 23S ribosomal RNA". It matches the Rfam family "Bacterial large subunit ribosomal RNA", at positions 418 to 997 of the family's 2925-position model. The record is from RNAcentral. Lineage: Bacteria; Pseudomonadati; Pseudomonadota; Gammaproteobacteria; Enterobacterales; Enterobacteriaceae.